Long non-coding RNA from Toxorhynchites rutilus septentrionalis, 1427 nucleotides. RefSeq lists it as uncharacterized. The record is from RefSeq and is a predicted model, not a curated record. The transcript has 3 exons. NCBI's taxonomy places the organism in Eukaryota, Metazoa, Arthropoda, Insecta, Diptera, Culicidae.
ACAAUCCAAUCGACGAAAAAAACAUCGACCUAACAACGACCGUAGCGCUGUUACCUAUUCACGAUGACGACGAUUAGGUAUCGACAUCUGGAUACGGCAUUAGUUUGUAUGAGGCAAACUAUUCUCUAUCAUAUUAGUCGGCCCGAAUCAGUUUAUAAUUGCUAAAAUUUGUAUGAAAUUUUUUUCUUGGCAUAAUUUUUCUUACUUAAAGUACGUUGUCAUGACCCUAAUUUGAAUUAUUUUCUAUAGACGUUCAGAUAUUCUCAAAAAAACUUGUCAUUAUAAUAUAAAAUUAUCUCAAAACAUAUUUUUUUAUGACGUUUUUUCACCACUUGUAGGCAAUGGUGAUUUUCACUUACAUAGAGUACUAAUUUGAUUAAGGAAAAAUCAUGUUCAUUCAUAAUUUUCAUUUUAAAAGUGUAUUCAUUCCUUCUGCAAAUCCAUACUGUCAUGCCUCUUCCCCAAUAUCGUCAACGCGAAUAGUUCGUUAGUCGAAAAUACUGAAUAAUUAAACAAACUAAAUGGCGUCACUGGUGGUUCUUUUUUCCACUCCGCUAAACUGUCAUCUCAAACAAAAACAAAUGGAUCAUACAACUGCUAUGAAUACAUUCGACUCGUUUGCUUCCAUCAAUCGGUAAGUGAGAAAGAUGAUUUCUCCCAUCACCACAGUGCGGAUUUCCACUUCUAUCACAGCAGCCAACAACAUCCGUUUUCCUGCUGCAGUAACCUCCAACCCCUGUUGGCAAUGCCGGGGAACAGCAUUAACAGCAGCAGCAGAAUUUGACCAUGGUAUGGUAUUGCGAAGAACUUUCCCCAUUAGAGGUUCCGUGCUUCGCGCACAUUCAAAAAUCCUCUUCAGACACGAAAACUCAACGACAAGGAGGUAUUUAUCAACUUGCUCAGCUGAAUUACCACCCGGAGGAACCCGAAUGCACUGAUUCCGUUGUAUAGUAGAAUGAAAAUAGGCGAGGUAAGCGAACGUAAUCGCAUGAUAUUUUAAUGUUCGCAUUUUCAUCCGGAUCAUACAACUGCUAUGAAUACAUCCGACUCAAUCAAUCGGCGAAUGAGAAAGAUGAUUUCCCUCAUCACCACAUUGCUUAUUUCCACUUCUGUCACACCAGCCAACAGCAUCAACUUUCCCGCAGCAGUAUCCUUUAAGUCCAGGGUGCUAUUCCGGGGAACAGCAUCAACAGCAACAGCAGCAGGACCUGGCCAUAGUAUUUCGGGCAAUUUUCCCCAUCGGAGAUCCCGUGCUUCACGCACAUUGAAGAAUCCUCCUCAGCCACAUAUCUGUGUCAUCGAGGGCAAAGAGGUAUUCAUCAAUGUACUCAGUCGGAUUUGAAUCGUCAAUCCAGACAACCCGGAUGCACCGAUUCCAUUAUAUACCUUAUUUUUAUUAUACAUGGAUUUUUAUUAUUUUUUUUCAA